Molecule: ribosomal RNA, 265 nt
Filed under: uncultured bacterium
Lineage: Bacteria
Description: partial 16S ribosomal RNA
Rfam family: Bacterial small subunit ribosomal RNA
Source: RNAcentral
CCGGCGACCGGCGGACGGGUGCGUAACGCGUAUGUAACCUACCUUUGACAGGGGGAUAACAUCGAGAAAUUGGUACUAAUACCCCAUAACAUCACCGGAGGCAUCUUCGGUGGUUGAAAACUCAGGUGGUCAGAGAUGGACAUGCGUUGUAUUAGCUAGUUGGUGAGGUAACGGCUCACCAAGGCGACGAUACAUAGGGGGACUGAGAGGUCAACCCCCCACAUUGGUACUGAGACACGGCCCAAACUCCUACGGAAGGCAGCAG